UUAUGGUGUACUUCAAGAUGCU
RNAcentral lists this microRNA (22 nucleotides) under Parasteatoda tepidariorum (common house spider). RNAcentral's name for it is "pte-miR-11943-3p". The record is from miRBase by way of RNAcentral. Lineage: Eukaryota; Metazoa; Arthropoda; Arachnida; Araneae; Theridiidae.